Molecule: long non-coding RNA, 12432 nt
Filed under: Durio zibethinus
Lineage: Eukaryota; Viridiplantae; Streptophyta; Magnoliopsida; Malvales; Malvaceae
Description: long non-coding RNA (DZIB_LNC000178)
Source: RNAcentral
AGAAAAGAAUAUUCUAAAAGUAAAUGUAAUAAAAAAAAAAGACAAAUAAAAUGAAAAAGAAUUAUCUUAUCUGUCUAUUGACAAAACUCAUCUCUCUCUCUCAUUUUAUUUUUUAGCUCAAUUUUAUUAAAUAAAAUCCUUAAUAUCCAGUCAAGUAAUGUCACAUGAUGCUGAAUAGAUAAGAAUAAAAAGAAUUCAAGAAUAAUAUAGAAACCUUUAGAAGAUGUUAAAAUGUUUUUAUUUAUCUAAAAAAAUAUAUUUUAAGAAUAUUUAAAAAAUUCUGUAAAAAAAUCAAAAUUAUGAAAGAAAACUCAAAAUAAAAAAUCAAACCAAUCUAGAAAAUUUUGAGGCAAAUAACGUUAUAAAUCGAACUACCCAAAUUUUUUAUUUUUUUCUUCUUAUUUUUCGUUUCAUUAUCUUCGAUCCCUAACAAAGAUGAUGCGUAACAUCGAUCUAGGCUUGGUGAGGGGUUAGAUUGCAUCUCCAAUCUUCUCCAUAAUCCCUCUAUUCUUUCUUUUCACUCUAUUUCUUUCAUCAAGCACACAACCUACAUGAAUCAUACAAAUUUCUGCUUAAAUCAACUUAUCAACUUUAUAAAAAGCAAUCACAAAAUUAUUGUUUCUCAUUUUUUUUAAAGAAAAAAGAUUUUUCAAGCUUUUUAUCUUAAAAUUAAAAUAAAAUAAAUAAUACAACAUAGAGCAUAUGAAGAAUAAAACAGGCCUUAAACAGUCCAUAUACCUAUACACCACAACAUUUACAAUCAAAAUUAAAAAAAAAAGUUUUUUGCAAAAUCAAAUUUAUUAAAAAAAAUUAAAUUUUUUUCCUUACCCUUUUUUUUCUAACAUAUUUCUUCAAAUUUGGUUCUUUUCUUGGAUUCUAACUUUUCUUCAAUUUUUUCAGAACUUUUUUUUUUUUUCCAUUUUCUCUUUUAUUACUCUUUUGAUUCUCGUUUAUGUCUUUCCCUUUCUUUCCUUCUUUUCUCAAUCUAAAAUUUUUGUUUUUAUUGACGCAAUAAAAAUUCGCUUGGCCAAAAAAAAUCACAUCUCUUUCUUUAAAACAUUCUUUUGCCUUUGGCCACAAAAAAGUCACGUCUCCUUUCUCUAGAGCCUUUCAUUUGUCUUUUUUUAAAAUUUUUUAAUUUUUUAAAAUUUUAACCUUUAUCCGAAAAGACAAAAAUCUCUAAAAUACUUUUAAUAAAUUAAAUAAUUCUCUGUACCCAAAGAGAAAAGAUGGUGGCGGAAAGUCUAUUUAUAGAUAAAAUUAUAUGACAAUUAGACAAUGACAUGUCAUAAAUAGUUACAACAAAUUAAGUAAUUUCUUUAUUGUUCUAAAAAGAACCAGUAUCAUGAUACGUAAGUUUAAAUUUUUUUUGGUUUCAAGGGCGGUGUAAAACCUUAUUAUUAUAAGAGAGGAAAAGAAAAGCUUGAUUCGAAAUUAAAUUUUAAUGUCUUCUUAAAAAUUUUUGUGGCUAUUAGGUCAUGAAGCGAAAAACUGUAAAUUUAGAUUAGAUUGCUUGGUGGAGCGACAGGUGAGGAUUUGGACAUGACUCAAUGUACUAGUCACAGCUGUUGCAAUUCCUGCUUUCUGCUACCGCAAGACUUGCAGCCUUAUGUUGUCUUGUCCAAGUAUCAGCCUGAAAAAGCCACUGGCCAUUUAUUCAUCGGUUGUCAGCCCUGGAAUACAACAAAUAAUUUAAAGGGACAGUAAUGUUGACAUGAAUUUGAUUGAAAACAUUGCGGAUCUGAGAGCUAGCAUGCAAGUCAAGAUCUCCAACUUGGGCAAAGGAAUGCCUGGCUAUUUUUCUUCUGGUUGUCACAUAAUCCCAAUUGCAAAACCUUUGUUGUAAGAGAAUUCUUGUUCACCACGUAAUAUUUUUUACAAUGGAUCGAUGUUUGUGGUAAUAUCUGUUUUUCAAAAAAAAAAAUGGGACCAGUAGCCUCUUUUUACGUAAGUGAUCUGUCGCCUCAGCAUAGAAUCAGGCUUCACAUGUAAUCAAAGCUUCACGAAAGUAAAAAGUCGUCCAUUUGUUAUGUUUUUCAACCCUUUGCACUACGGCACCUCUUACAAAAAUGUCGGCUGGUGACUUUUUUUCUCCUUUCAUACAGAUAUUUUCAGGCACUAUAUGUAGUGUUGCAGAACUGCUAAGUUCCUGGAAUAAGUUUAACAGAAACCCAGAAGAAAGAUCGUUAUGUCGAGUUUUUUACAAUUUUUAGAGCACCAUGAAAGAUUUUUCAUGUCAGAUGUCUUUUUCUUCUCCGUGAUAGCCAUCCUCUUCGUAGUCUUACUUGAGCGAUUUUUAAGUCGUUCGAAUAAGAAAAGAAAGCUAAUGUUACCACCUUCUCCGCCGAAACUCCCAAUCAUUGGAAACAUUCACAAAAUCGGGUCGUACCCUCAUCGCUCACUCCGGGCCUUAGCUCAACAAUUUGGCCCUCUCAUGUUGCUCCGCUUUGGCAGUGCGCCUGUGCUUGUUGUCUCCUCCGCUGAUGCUGCCCGUGAGAUCAUGAAAACCAAUGAUCUGACAUUCGCAAACAGACCCAAAUCAAGUACCUUUCAAAAGCUUCUCUAUGAUUACAAAGACGUUUCAACGGCACCUUAUGGUGAUUACUGGAGGCAAAUGAAAAGCAUAUGCGUGCUACAUCUUCUAAGUAACAAAAAGGUUCAGUCCUUUCGCGCUGUAAGAGAAGAAGAAACGGUUCUUGCUGUUGAGAAGAUUAAAAAGUGUAGCACAUCUGCUUUGCCAGUGAAUCUAAGUGAACUCUUUUCUACGGUCACAAACAGUGUUGUCUGCAGAGUCGCUUUAGGAAGAAAGUACAGUGAAGGGGAAGAUGGGAACAAGUUUAAGAAGCUUUUGAGCGAGUUCGUGGAGUUGUUGGGUGGCAUAAAUGUUGGGGACUAUAUUCCUUGGCUUGCUUGGAUAAACCAUGUUAAUGGAUUGAAUGGUAAAGUAGAGAAAGUGGCCAAGGAGUUCGAUGCUUUUUUAAGUGGAGUGCUCGAAGAGCAUAUGAAUCGACAUAACCAGGAAAGGAAAUGAUGAUAUUGGGAUUCAAGAUGAGGAUGAAAAAGAUUUCGUUGAUGUUUUGCUGGGGAUUCAGAGGGAAAACACGGUUGGCUUUCCCAUAGAGGAAGUGAGCAUUAAGGCUCUUAUCUUGGUAAGAACCACUUAAUUCCCUUUCCAAACCCCUUUCCAACUGUGUUUAACAUUUCCAACAAGAAAAGGGGUUGCAGGUGCUUUGAACCCCCACUUGCUGGAUAGCACGUUACUGCGUGAACAAACUGAACUGAAUUCUGCUCUUUACUCUAGCAUUGGAUGUGAUAAGACUAGUUUAUCUACCGGCACCAAGUAGUUUUUUUUUUUUUUUACUUUAUUAUUAUUAUAGUUCCUUAAUUUUAGCUUCACAUUCGAACUUGACAAAUCUUCUUUCCAUGAUAGGAUGCGUUUGCAGCUGGAACUCACACUACAUAUACAGUCCUGGAGUGGGCAAUGACAGAACUGUUGAGGCACCCAGAGAUAAUGAAAGAACUACAAAAAGAGGUCAGGAAAGUUGCCUGUGAAAAAUCGGAAAUUUCGGAGGAUGAUCUGGAUAACAUGCACUACUUAAAAGCUGUGAUCAAAGAGACUCUUCGUUUACAUCCUCCGAUUCCAUUGUUAGUUCCAAGAAUAUCAACAGAAGAUGUCAGGAUCAAUGGCUAUGACAUUGAACGAGGAACUCAAGUUAUUAUCAAUGCUUGGGCAAUCGGAAGAGACCCUAUGUCGUGGGAGAAACCAGAAGAAUUUCUUCCAGAGAGGUUCUUGAACAAUUCCCUAGAUUUCAAAGGACAUCAUUUCGAAUUGAUUCCAUUUGGUUCUGGAAGGAGGAUUUGUCCAGGCAUCCUAUUUGCAAUGAAAAUAAAUGAGCUCUUAUUGGCAAAUCUUGUUCACAAGUUUGAUUGGUCAUUGCCUGGUGGAGCAAAACAGAACGAUUUGGACAUGAAUGAAAGCUUUGGCCUUACCAUACACAAAAAAUCUCCUCUAAUUGCUAUUGCAAAUCCAUGUUGUUGCUAGGGGAAAGGCAAUCCUCAAGUUUUUUUCCCAAUGGAUGGUACUCUGUAAUCUUAUUUCUCAAAAUAAGUUAGUUUUAAACUUAAUUUUCAAAAUAAGAUACAUAUAUCCACGUGUAAUCCAUGUGACCAAUAAAUGACACGUCAUAAAAAAAUGCAUAAUUAUGUUUUCGAGAAAUGCAAUUUGUUUGAGUAAAAUUCUAAAUCGAAGGAUAAAAUUUUAAAAUCACAGAAGAGAAAGAGAAUGAUUAGAAGUAAAGACAAAAAAAUAUUAUCUAUAUUUAUAUUUUGAUACUUAAAUUGCAAGUCAAUUAUAAAAUGUACACCCUAUAUUUGGAGUGUCAAAUGUUUAAGCUAAGCUCUAGGCUAAGGGGUAAAAUUAUGAAAUCACAAAAGAGAAAAAAUGAAGGGACAAAAGCGAAGAGUAUUUUCCUUCAUGUUUCAAUCGAUUGGUCCAAAGGGCCAAAUAGCCGGCUUGAGAUUGACGAUUGAGCUGACAUGAUAGUGUAUACGUAAAGUUGAUUGUCAAUUGACAAUGUUUGACGAGCAAACAAAUCAUUUUACCUUUUGAACGCAAAAAUAUCUCUAACACAACCCCUACAAAUAUAACAUCUUUAGGUGGACUCAAGUAAAUUUGUACUCCUCUAUCAUGUUCACUGCAGUUCUUUCCCAACUAAUCCAUUGUAAAAUUCUUGUCUUGGAAUGUAAUUCAACAUUCGUUCUUUAUUAUUUUGCAUGAUUUCUCUAAUGGUUUUGAUGAUAUUAAGAUCACAAGAUGUGGGUGACUGUUGGAGAUGCUUUUAGUGAUUAAGGAAAAUGAAGAGGCACCGUCAGUUUACCCAUAAUCUGUGCAAGCAUGGCACCAUGAUACAAACAAACCCCAUAAUUCUGCAAGAUCAAUUGAACAUAUCCCCAAAUAGCUUAUCAGAAUUUCCCUUUCUGGAUUAUCGACAUCAGUUUUAUUUAUGGCACGUUGCCAUUCUUCCAUGAGCUUGGUAAUCCAUUCUUUUUUUAAAGGAAUAUGUGUUGAACAUCCCAUUAGAACUCAAUGCCCAAAUAAUUUGAUCCUUUACAUCCAUGUUAAGGUCAAUCAGGAUAGAUCUGAUUUUCCCAAUAAGGUCAACAUCUUUAUCUAAACACAUCUCCAGCCCCUCAUAGAUUUUGUCUCUGUGAUAAUAAUGAAUUUUGUUAUUUUUCUAGUAUUUCACGACUGCUUGCUCAAUUUUGUUCCUGUUUGUGUUAUAUUAUAAUUUGUUUUUUUUUUUUUUUGAAGGGUAUCCUACUACAUAGAGGAGAAAGAGGGGAGGGAUAGGAUUAGAGUUUGGAGGAAGAAGAAUGACUUGUACUUUCUUUAGGUAAAAUGAUGAGGUGGAAUAUAAUUGUGUUAAAUUACCUUAUUUUAAGAAUAAAGUUUUAAAUUACUCUCUUUUAAUAAAUAAGAUUUUAAACAACUUUAGUAUGGGAAAAAAUUAAAUUUGACAAUCUAAAAAUGAAAUAUAAUUCGAUGAUACGAUAUAAUAUAAAAAUGAGAUAUAAAAGUAAUACGAUUUAAAAUUAUAGUAAUAAUUAUAUAUAAAUUUAAUAAAAACAAAAAGAUUUUAUUUUAUAUUUUAGUGUAGACAUGAAUUAUGAUAUAUAAUUUUUGUAUAAAUUAUUAUAUAAAUAUAUAAAUUUUAAUAUUUUAUAUGAUACAAAUAUAUGAAUCAUUAUAUUUUAAAAAUAGCCCCUAGCUUAGUUCUUAUUAUUGAAAAGAAGCCCCAAAUUUGUACUGUUUGUAACAGGCCCUUAACGCUGGGCUUAAUUUUCUCCUACCUUCUGCAUUUGGUAAUGAAUAUUUCUUUAACCAAAAUAAUAAUUUUAAAUUUAGACUUAAUUUUAAUUGAUUCAUGCAAUCAUAAUUUUAUAUGAAUAUAAAAAAAUUGUAAAAGAUUAAAGAUAUUUUAAAAAUCAAUAAUUAUUAUGAUUAAACUUACACAUUGUAAUUAUUCUUGCACUAGAAAAAAAAUAUUUGAUUAUAUCUAAACCAAACAAUUCGUGUAUUGUAUUGUGUAAAAUAUUAAAAAUUUAUAUAUUUUUAUCAUAUUUUAUAUAAAAAUUGACGAAAAUAUAAAAUAUAUUUUUUUGAUUUUGUUAAAUCUAUUUGUAUUUUUUAUUAAAAUUUUAAAUUAUAUUAUUUUCAUAUUUUUUAUUCAUAUUAUUUUUAUAUUUUGUUACUGUAUCUAUUUGAAAUUGCCACAUCUAAUUAUAUCUCAAAGCACUAAGUAAUUUGAUUGUGUAUAUAACAUCAUCAUGUAAUUCUCAAUUAAACUGAUUUUUUUUUUAAAUAGCCUAUAUUUAUUUGUCACUGCAUCUGUUAUAAACUUCAUAUUUUCAGCGACUGUUUCUCCCCUUGAAAUUAUGGUAAUACUUGAUUAUACCCUAAAGCACAUAAUUAGCUAUAAUAAAUAAAAUUAAAUGCUCAAUUUAAUAUCGAAUUACAUAAGGAUUGAAUUACGCCUCUCGCAAACUGCCUUUUUUUUUUUGUUUUUCCUUUCAAUCUUUAUUUUUUGAUUAUUUUUAAUUUUUAAUAUUUUUUUGAAAAUAUCAAGACAGAAAUAUUAUCAAAGAAAUUUGAGGAAACAAUUUUAUUUAGAAUUGUCUAGAGAGGCAUGCAGGCACAUCACCAAGUAAGGUGAAAAAACAAAAGAAAAAUCUAAAAAUUGAUUUAAAAUUAUAAUGUUCAGAUUAAUUUUUUUAUUUGAUUUAGAUUAAAUUUGAAUAUUAAAUGUAUGUAUUAGUUUUGGAUUGAAUUUUAUAUUGAAAUGUGCAAAACUAAAAUAAAUUGAACUGAAUCGAAUCAAAAAAUAUAUUUUUAAAUUUUUAUAUAUUUUUUUAAUUUUUUAUAAAAUAAAGAUAAUAAUUUUAUAUUAAAAUUUAUUUAAAUAUGUUAAUAUUUUAUAUUAAAAUUAUAUAUAAAAAAUUUAAAAUUAAUAAAUUAAUAAAUCGAAUCAAACGGAAUCGAUAAAAUUCAAUUUAUUUUAAUUAAGACAAAAUGAGAAUUAGGUUGAAAUUCAAAUUAAAAUUUAAAAUUUUAUAAUAUUAUAUAAUAUUUAAAAAAAUUAAACGAAAUUCAGUCUGAUCUAAAUUAUCGUCUUCCCUGUCAUAAAGAAAAACAAAAAAACAUACAGCAAUCAUACCUUUAUAACGAUUAAAAGAAGACAAAAAAAAAAAUUCAAUGGCUUGUUUCAACUUUCUUUUGUAAAAGAAUCCAGUCUAUGAACUAUAAAAGAAUAAAAUUAUUCUGAUUGCUUUUACAUGUCCAUUGGUGCUCCACCAUUAAGAUUCAGAAGACAGUGGCUUACCUAGGAAAUAUGAUUAACUCGACUGUUAUCUGAAAUAAUAAAUUUUUUUAAAUUAAAAAUAAAUAAUUUAAUUAUUUGUAAAUUUAUAUCAUAAAAAAUAUUACAAAAUAUAUAUUUAUAUUAUAUUUUAUAUAAAAAUUAUAUAUUACAAUUUGUAUCAAUAUAAAAAUAUAAAAAACUAUAUUUUUAUUUUUAUUAAAUUUAUAUAAUUUUUAAUAAAUUUUUAAUUUUUUAAUAUUAUCUUAAUAUAUUAUACUACAUUAUAUUACAUUAAUGGAUUAGUAUGAGUUACUUGAAACCAACCGAAUUAGGUUUACUUGAUUCGGAUUUAUUCAAUUUUGGUAUUAAUUAGUUAAGAAAAGUGAUUAAUUUGAUUACUUUGAAUAUUUUUUAUGUUUCAAAUUGAUAAUAAAAUUGAUUGAAUUAAUUGAUUUAUUAAUUUAUUUUAAAAUAUCUUUUUAUAAUAUAACAAAUAAAAUAUAUAAUAUAAUAUUUAUUUUAUAAAUAUAAAUAAUUUAUUUUUAAAUAAUUAAAAUUUACGUAAUCCAUUGAACUUGUCCGAUUUAGACUUUAUUUAGAUUAGCAGUGAAAUUGAUUCUAAUAAAAUUAAAAAUAACAAUGAAGAUAAGAUUAAUUAUUUUAAUAGUGAAACUAAAUACUAUAACAAUAAAAUUAAUAUCAAUUAUGAGAUACAUGCUUAAAUAUAAAAAUAAUGACAUAAAUUGUUGGUAAAUGUAGUUAAUUUGAGGAUAAUUGUGAUAAUAAUAUAUUAUCUCACUCACUCUUCACAAAAUGCAAAGCAAAACCACUUAUAACCAUUAAUAUAUAUAUAUAUAUAUAUAUAUAUAUAUUGAUGUUGUAACACUCCUGCACUAGCCAAUAUAUAUGUAUAUUAUAUAAAAAAAAAAACAAAUAUAAUUGGUAUUAAAAAAUUAUUGCAGGAUGAUAAUACUUUUGUGUCCUAUUCCCAACUCUCCAUACUAUUUUUCUCUUUUUUCUAAUAAGUAUUAAAAUGAGCCAUGACCCAUGUCUUGGCAACACAUAUCUACAAUAGUUUUUUAAAAAAAAAAAAGAAUUUGUUACAUUACACUUGCAAUUUUUUAAUAUUUUGAAUGUAAGUGUUUAGAAUUUUGAGUAGUUCUUUGAAAAUAUUGAAGUAAUUAAAAGUAUAUAUUUUUAUUUAUAUUUAUCUAUGCAAUUAGAUCUACACUGUUUAUUAAGAAUAAUUCAAAUUUUAUUAUUAAUGAAUCUAUUUUUUAUGAAAUCUAUAAAUAUAUGAACUUUAUGAAAGCAUAAUCUUAAUUCAAAGUGAAUCAUUGAUUUUGAAUAAUUUUAAUUAAUUAUUGAAGCUUAUGUUUUAAUGAUUGUAUAUUUUUAUAUAUUUAUUAUACUCAUAUUAUUUUUUAUUUAUAUAUAUUCAUAUAUUUUGUAAUUUAUGUAUCUAUAUUUUAUUUAUUUAUAUUUUAUUUGUAUAUUACUUAUAUUCAUUAAUAUAAUUUUUGAAACAAAAAAUUAAAAAAAAAAUCGCAAAUAAGCAUGUGAAAAUAGUGCCUAGUUUGUGCGUUGGGACUAACAUUGAAGUUUACUUUUACUUGUUUCCAUGGUUGGGCCGGUGUUUUAUGUGGACGAGUUUUUUCCUUAUGGGCUUUUAUAGUUUUUACAUCAAGCCUAGAUGUUCAAAUCAACGGCUAUGAUGUAGUAGCUGGAACAGUUAUCUUUACCAAUGCUAGGGCAAUUGGAAAAUAUUACGCAACUUUAAAUUAAAUUUGAUAAUUUAAAAUAUAAUAUAAAAUAAUAUAAUUUAAAAAUAUAAAAUAAUAUAAUUUAAAAUUUUCAUAAAAUUAAAAAAAUUACACUUUAUAUUUUAUUUCUUUAAAAAUUAUAAAAUAUAAAUUUUAUAAAAUAUAUAAUAUAAAAAUAAUAUUUUACAUUAUACGAUAAUAUAAUCAGAUUUAAUUCGGAUACACCCCACAAAUUUUUUUCAAAGAGUUUCUUGAAUAAUCGUUAUAGAUUUUGCAAAGCACGACUUUCAAGUUAGACCUUUGGGAGCAAGCUGGAGGGGUUGCUCAGGAUUGUCGUUUGUAAUUAUGCGUCUUCGAUUUGUUCGAUUAAUUUUAAAUUAAAUUAUUUAAAAUUAAAUUAAUUAAAUUAAAUCAUUUUAUUUUUGAUAAUCAAAUCAAAUUUAUUAAUUUCAAAAUUUAAUCAAUAAAAUUUAAUUAAAUCGAUUUGAUUAAUUUUUUAAUUAAUUGAAUAAUAAAUAUAUUUAAAUUUAAUUAUAUUUUAAACUCUUAAUUUUUCAUAUUUUAAAUACACUAAAUAAAAUUAUCUAAUAAAAUAUUUAAAUAUAAAAAUAAAUUGUUUAGAAUUUUAUCAACUUAUAAAAUAAAAUGAUAAAAUAACCCAUUUCACAUAUUUUUUUACUUUAUAUUUGAAUUAUAAUGCAUUUUGAUUAAAAUUUUUUUAACCUACUUAAUAAAAAAUUUACAUUUUAUAAAAUUAUUUCAGUUAAUUAAUUAAAAUUAAUUUAAUAAUCAAUUGAUUAAUUGACUUAAAUUAAAUCAACCAAUUAAUUUAAUUAAAAUCAAAUUAUGAACUCCCUCCCUCCCUCGUUUGGCAGGGUUAUGAUUGAGAUUAUCCUGGCAAAUCUUGUUUACAAGUUUGAUUGGUCAUUAGAUUCCAUCCUCACGCUUCGCUGCGAGUAAUGCAAGUGAAGGUUUAACUCGACGAGAAUGAUUGAAUCUUUGUAUUGUAUUUACAUCAAUUUUCUUAUGUGUAAACAAUAUAACAUCUAUGGAGACUUUUAAAGUUACAAAUUCACUAUCAACUCUUAUAUCUUUCCGUCAAUGUUUAUUAUAAUUACAGGUUAUUAUACUUCUUAAUUAGACCAACUUAACGUUAUAGUUAUUUUGUUUUACUACUGUUUGGAUUACUCUUUUUAGGUUUUAUGCAUUUUUGUCUCGAGGAUGGUAGACAAAAAUUAAGAAAUUCAAAGAUCUCAUAUAAACUAUGGGUCAAACCUAAAUUUGUGAUAUAUAUGUAAAAGUAUGAACUCAAAUUUGUUAUACACUUUUUAUGAAAUAAAAUCGUAAAAUUUUUAUAUUAAAAUACACAAUAUUUCUCAAAUUAAAUAUGAAUCUUCGUAAUUUAAAAAUUUUUUAAAAAGUAUGUGAUAAACCCACCAAUACCGAAAUAGAGAUGUCUUAAAGGAGAACAAAUGAAAACCAGCAUAUGCACAAACUACAAUAAAAUUCAUCAAAAACUAAACAUUGGAGAAGAAGAAUAUAGUGCAAAAAGAAUUAAAAAAAAAAAGUAUGCAUAUAGAGAAAAACAACUAAAAGAGAGAUAGUUUAAUGUUAAAGCUACACAAUUAAAAGAAUGCUGUAAAAUUAAAUUAAAUUAAAUUAAAUUAAAAGAAAAAUAAUAGUUGGAGCAAGAAAAAAACAACAAAUCUCGAAAGGCAAAUAUAGGAAGAAAAUAAAUAUAUUAAUAAAGGGAAUGACCUUUAAUAUUUAAAUUACAUUGAAUAAGAGGAUGAAGCAACAUGCAAAAAUAGCCCACUAUAAUUAACUAAUAGAUGUGGUACCAAUGAAAAUAUUUUAACCCUUAAGUGGUAAAAAAUAAUAAUUAUAAAUAUAGUAUUGAUCUCAAUCAUAACAUAGCCCAAACAUGAGCAAUCAUGUAAGUUAGGAGAGUAUAAAAUGCAAUGUUAAUGGCAUACUAAUCCUAUGAUGCAUUGGAUAUGAUAACUAUCCAUUGCCUACAUAGAACUACUUAAUUAACCUAAGUAAACAUGAGAAAAGGCAAAAGUGCCACCAGUGUCAUCAAAAGGAUUUCAGGCAAGGAGGAUAGUUUAAAAUUUAAACAACAAUAGAAAACAUCAAUAAAAAAGAAUUGAAAAGCAUUGAUAUAAUAAUUUGACCUAAUUUAAUUUUCAUCCUUAAGUAGAACAACUUAUAUGUUGAGCCACUUUUACUGUUUCAAUACAAUUUUUUUAAUGCAAAUGCAAAAGAACAAUGGAAUAAUUUUAAACAAAUAAUGAUGAGAAAAAAAAAUAAUUUCUAAACUUACAAAAAAAAUAUGAGAUAUCCAUAAAAAGAAGAAUAUAAUCAAAAUAAAAAUAAAACAGAAAGCCUAAAAUUUUAAACAAAUAAAAAAUUGUAAAUAGAAAAAGCAAAGAGGUUAAACAUACCUGCAGUAUUAUAUUAAAAAUCACCAAUGCAAUCAUAGAAAACACAACAUAAUAAAAUUAAAAGUCAUUUAAACAAAAAUAUUUUUAAAAAAUAAUUUUAGCAUCUAAUAAAAAUCUAAGGAAACUAAAAUCAAAGCAUAGUAGAAAAGAAUUUUCUAAAAGUAAAUGAAAUAAAAAAAAAAAGACAAAAAAAAGACCUGAAAAAGAAUCAUCUUAUCUGUCUAUUGACAAAACUCAUCUCUCUCUCUCUCUCUUUUUUUUUUUUUUAGCUCAAUCUUAUUAAAUAAAAUCCUUAAUAUCCAGUCAAGUAAUGUCACAUGAUGCUGACUAGAUAAGAAUAAGAAGAAUUCAAGAAUAAUAUAGAAACCUCUAAAAGAUGUUAAAAUGUUUUUAUUUAUCUAAAAAAUAAUAAUAUUUUAAGAAUAUUAAAAAAAUCAAAAUUAUGAUAAAAAACUCAAAAUAAAAAAUCAAGCCAAUCAAGAAAAAUUUAAGGCAAAUAACGUUAUAAAUCGAACUACGCAAAAUUCUUUUUUUUUUCUUCUUAUUUUUCACUUCAUUACCUUCGAUCCCUAACGAAGACGACGCUUAACAUCGAUCUAGGCUUGGUGAGGGUUAGAGGGCAUCUCCCAUCUUCUCAACCUACAUAUACAAAUGUCAACAUGAAUCAUACAAAUUUCUGCUUAAAUCAACUUAUCAACUUUAUAAAAAGCAAUCACAAAAUAACGGUUUCUCAUUUUUAUCUAAGAAAAAAGAUUUUUCAAAUUUAAAAAAAAAAUUAAAAUAAAAUAAAUAAUUCAACAUAAAGCAUACGAAGAAUAAAGCAGUCCUUAAACAGUCCAUACACCUAUACACCACAACAUUUAC